Mycena metata is the source of this 92-nucleotide non-coding RNA. NCBI's taxonomy places the organism in Eukaryota, Fungi, Basidiomycota, Agaricomycetes, Agaricales, Mycenaceae. The record is from the annotation of a GenBank genome assembly.
GACCCAAUGGCACAGUGGUUAAUGCACUUGCUUUAUUUGCAUAUGAACGACACGUUAAGUGAGAGAUCCCCGUUCAAUUCGGGGUUGGGUCA